Molecule: long non-coding RNA, 656 nt
Organism: Sphaeramia orbicularis (orbiculate cardinalfish)
Lineage: Eukaryota; Metazoa; Chordata; Actinopteri; Kurtiformes; Apogonidae
Exons: 2
Source: RefSeq, a predicted model, not a curated record
UCAAGUCUAUUUAUUAUUGAGCUUCUCAUUUGUACAAGUCUGACAUCACUUUUGUUUUUAUCUUUUAUUUUCCCAAAUCAUUGACGGUAACUUUACAGUAAAACACAUCUGCUGAGAUGUAGAUUUACAGACGAGAGCGAAGAGGAGGAGGAGGAAGGAGAGGAAGGAGAGGAAGAGGAGGAGGGGGUGGAUGAUGUGGUUUCUUUCAGUGAUGAUGAAAACACUCGUGUCCACUUCAGUCUCUUUCUUCUGCUGAUGCUGGUGUUUGUAAUCAAUUAAUUAAAAGAAAUAAAGAAAACGACAGAAAAUGCUGUGGGUGUGACGGUAUCCUGUUUGGGGGGCGUGGUCAGUGGAGAUCCUGUUUGGGGGCGUGGCCAGUGGAGAUCCUGUUUGGGGGCGUGGUCUGUCAUGUGACCUCCGACCCUCCUCCUUUGUGCUCAAACCUGACAUCGUAAAGUCCAGGGUCAUGUGAUAUUUACAGCAACCAAUCAGGAGGAGUUUGGAAAAUCAAACAGGAAGCAGUGAUUUCUAAAUGUGGUGGAAUGUAACGAAGUACAGGUGGUUCAUUUGGUUCCAUUUUCUGCUGUUUCAACCUUCAUCUCAGAGUCAAAUACUGGACUUUUAACUUCGUUCAUUUGACAAAUUUAGAUUCAACA